RNAcentral lists this transfer RNA (73 nucleotides) under Candidatus Shikimatogenerans bostrichidophilus. Its description in RNAcentral is "tRNA-Gly". It matches the Rfam family "tRNA". From Rfam's summary of the family: Transfer RNA (tRNA) molecules are approximately 80 nucleotides in length. Lineage: Bacteria; Pseudomonadati; Bacteroidota; Flavobacteriia; Flavobacteriales. The record is from RNAcentral.
GCGAUAGUAGUUCAUUUGGUAGAACAUAACCUUGCCAAGGUUAAGGUAACGGGUUCAAUUCCCGUCUAUCGCU